Molecule: ribosomal RNA, 281 nt
Filed under: uncultured bacterium
Lineage: Bacteria
Description: partial 16S ribosomal RNA
Rfam family: Bacterial small subunit ribosomal RNA
Source: RNAcentral
GUGCCAGCAGCCGCGGUAAUACAUAGGGGUCAAGCGUUGUCCGGAUUUAUUGGGCGUAAAGAGCUCGUAGGCGGUUCAACAAGUCGGUCGUAAAAGUUUAGGGCUCAACCCUAAAAUGUCGAUCGAUACUGUUGUGACUGGGAUACGGUAGAGGUGAAUGGAAUUCCGAGUGUAGCGGUGAAAUGCGUAGAUAUUCGGAGGAACGCCAAUUGCGAAGGCAGUUCACUGGACCAUUACUGACACUCAGAGGCGAAAGCUAGGGUAGCAAAAGGGAUUAGAUA